Molecule: long non-coding RNA, 451 nt
Organism: Oreochromis aureus
Lineage: Eukaryota; Metazoa; Chordata; Actinopteri; Cichliformes; Cichlidae
Source: Ensembl
CACAUAUUUCUACACUAAGGCUAACCCUACUGAAGCAUUCAAGAUUCCCAGAGAACAGGUGUCCAAGCUUCUCCCAGUGUGCUUUGCUGAGAAGAUCCUUAGAGUUUACUGUAAGAACUCAGCCAGUCUGAGAGAUGCUAAGUUCUGCUUUCAAAGAUGGUAUCACGAAAAUGACUUUCUAACUGAGGAUCGAGACAGAGCAACUCCAUGAAAUGAAGAUGUGAAACACUGAGAAAUUAGAUUUUUUGUGUUACUUCAGAGAUUUAAAAACAGGUAAAUCAGCAAACUAAAGUGGUUUGAUGAAUAAAAUAUUUAUGACACAUUUUCACUAUAAUCAAACUAUAUAGCUCAACCUGGCCAAAGGUUUAGAUAAAGGCUGCUGCUGUGAUUUGCUCAUUGUGUGAAAAAUCAUUAUUUAUUAUAUAACAGGUCUCUAGAUGAAAAUUUUACC